This 70-nucleotide transfer RNA is filed under the name Loxodonta africana (African savanna elephant). It matches the Rfam family "tRNA". From Rfam's summary of the family: Transfer RNA (tRNA) molecules are approximately 80 nucleotides in length. Their secondary structure includes four short double-helical elements and three loops (D, anti-codon, and T loops). Lineage: Eukaryota; Metazoa; Chordata; Mammalia; Proboscidea; Elephantidae. The record is from Rfam by way of RNAcentral.
GCAGUGGUGGUGCAGGGGCAGGAUUCCCGCCUUCCAAGCAGGAGGCCCGGGUUCGAUUCCGGCCAAUGCA